Molecule: transfer RNA, 83 nt
Filed under: Enterospora canceri
Lineage: Eukaryota; Fungi; Microsporidia; Enterocytozoonidae
Rfam family: tRNA
About the family: Transfer RNA (tRNA) molecules are approximately 80 nucleotides in length. Their secondary structure includes four short double-helical elements and three loops (D, anti-codon, and T loops).
Source: Rfam by way of RNAcentral
CUCCCUAUAGCUCAGUGGUAGAGCAUUUGACUGUAGAAUAGGCUGUAAUCGAAGGGCCGCUGGUUCAACUCCGGCUGGGGAGA